RNAcentral lists this ribosomal RNA (242 nucleotides) under uncultured organism. RNAcentral's name for it is "partial 16S ribosomal RNA". It matches the Rfam family "Bacterial small subunit ribosomal RNA", at positions 524 to 776 of the family's 1533-position model. The record is from RNAcentral.
UACGGAGAGGACAAGUGUUAUUCGUAUUGACUGGGUGUAAAGGGUACGUAGGCGGCUGUUUAAGUUAGCAAACAAAUCGUAAAAAUUUUGCUAAUACUAUCCGGCUAGAGUUAUGGGGAGGAAAGCGGUACUUCCAGUUUAGAAGUGACAUUCGUUUGAGAUUGGGGGGACCAACAUUAGGCGACGGCAGCUUUUCAUUCAUAUACUGACGCUGAGGUACGAAAGCGUGGGGAGCGAACGGG